RNAcentral lists this transfer RNA (90 nucleotides) under Auriscalpium vulgare. RNAcentral describes it as "tRNA-Gly". It matches the Rfam family "tRNA". Rfam says of the family: Transfer RNA (tRNA) molecules are approximately 80 nucleotides in length. Their secondary structure includes four short double-helical elements and three loops (D, anti-codon, and T loops). Lineage: Eukaryota; Fungi; Basidiomycota; Agaricomycetes; Russulales; Auriscalpiaceae. The record is from RNAcentral.
GCAUUAAUGGGGUAGUGGUAACCUGGGUCGUUGCCAAGUGCGAAGUCAUACAACUUCGACCCGCCGGGGGUUCGAUUCCCUCUUAAUGCA